This 254-nucleotide ribosomal RNA is filed under the name uncultured bacterium. RNAcentral's name for it is "partial 16S ribosomal RNA". It matches the Rfam family "Bacterial small subunit ribosomal RNA", at positions 524 to 776 of the family's 1533-position model. The record is from RNAcentral.
UACGUAGGGGGCGAGUGUUGUCCGGAGUUACUGGGCGUAAAGCGCCCGCAGGCGGUGCUGCGCGUUUGCACUGACAGCUCCCAGCUUAACUGGGAAAGGUGUGCAAAGACGGCAGGACUUCGAGGGCCAGAGAGGGACAUGGAACUCCAGGUGUAGUGGUGAAAUGCGUAGAUAUCUGGAAGAACACCGGUGGCGAAGGCGGCCUGCUGGGCAGUUGCUGACACUGAGGCGCGACAGCGUGGGGAGCAAACAGG